Molecule: ribosomal RNA, 906 nt
Filed under: uncultured bacterium
Lineage: Bacteria
Description: bacterial SSU rRNA
Rfam family: Bacterial small subunit ribosomal RNA
Source: RNAcentral
GGCUUGCGUGGCGGCAGGCCUAAACAUGCAGUCGAACGGUAACAGGAAGAAGCUUGCUUCUUUGCUGACGAGUGGCGGACGGGUGAGUAAUGUCUGGGAAACUGCCUGAUGGAGGGGGAUAACUACUGGAGACGGUAGCUAAUACCGCAUAACGUCGCAAGACCAAAGAGGGGGACCUUCGGGCCUCUUGCCAUCGGAUGUGCCCAGAUGGGAUUAGCUAGUAGGUGGGGUAACGGCUCACCUAGGCGACGAUCCCUAGCUGGUCUGAGAGGAUGACCAGCCACACUGGAACUGAGACACGGUCCAGACUCCUACGGGAGGCAGCAGUGGGGAAUAUUGCACAAUGGGCGCAAGCCUGAUGCAGCCAUGCCGCGUGUAUGAAGAAGGCCUUCGGGUUGUAAAGUACUUUCAGCGGGGAGGAAGGGAGUAAAGUUAAUACCUUUGCUCAUUGACGUUACCCGCAGAAGAAGCACCGGCUAACUCCGUGCCAGCAGCCGCGGUAAUGCGGAGGGUGCAAGCGUUAAUCGGAAUUACUGGGCGUAAAGCGCACGCAGGCGGUUUGUUAAGUCAGAUGUGAAAUCCCCGGGCUCAACCUGGGAACUGCAUCUGAUACUGGCAAGCUUGAGUCUCGUAGAGGGGGGUAGAAUUCCAGGUGUAGCGGUGAAAUGCGUAGAGAUCUGGAGGAAUACCGGUGGCGAAGGCGGCCCCCUGGACGAAGACUGACGCUCAGGUGCGAAAGCGUGGGGGAGCAAACAGGAUUAGAUACCCUGGUAGUCCACGCCGUAAACGAUGUCGACUUGGAGGUUGUGCCCUUGAGGCGUGCUUCCGGAGCUAACGCGUUAAGUCGACCGCCUGGGGGAGUACGGCCCGCAAGGUUAAAACUCAAAUGAAUUGACGGAAGGCGAA